UGGAAUCAGAGAGGAUCUCUUCGAGAGUGAAGGCCGUGGGCCAUAAAAGUUCCCAUGUCUGUCCAGCCGUUCGUUGAAAGGAGUAUCCUUCGCUUGGUAUGGGGGUUUCGAAGAUUUUGAUGAGGCUUUGUGAUAGUUUGGGGCCACGUUUAUCUGAGUUUUAGCUCUGUUUUGUGCUCGUGCAGGGUAAUCGGCAACAAGAUGGGAGAGCAUAUGGCAGAAGGAGCAAUGAUUCUCGAGCCGUUCUACCACUUCUACUCCUCCCCUGAACUUGACAAUAGUGUCUUUUGUGAGGG
Molecule: long non-coding RNA, 296 nt
Filed under: Eutrema salsugineum
Lineage: Eukaryota; Viridiplantae; Streptophyta; Magnoliopsida; Brassicales; Brassicaceae
Description: long non-coding RNA (ESAL_LNC000198)
Source: RNAcentral